CUGUCUCUUUCUUGUUUUUCCGGAUGAUAUGCAUAUGAUGCCAAUAUUCUAACAGAGCCAGUAUGCUCUUGAGUUCAUUUCACAAAUACAUUUGUAUUUAUCUUUCCUCUUCCUUCACCCUUGCACAAUACUAAUGGAUAUUGCCAUGUAUAAAUCAACAUAGCAAUAAAUCUGUCAGCAGUUGCAACAUGCAAAUACACACAGUGAACCAGCUGUGCUUCAUCUUAAUUUUUUUUUUCUCAAUCAAAUAUCAAUUACAUUGUUAUUUACUCCCAAUAAUCAAACCAACCAGUGAACCAGGCAGCCAUGCAUAUUAAUUUAGUAAAAGAAUAGACAUGUAAUUGCUAUUACAAAAUACAAGCAUUGAACAACUGACAACUCAGUACUCACCUUCACCGGCACGAGAGCAACGACGGAGAGAGGCUGCAACGGCCGGCGAGAUGAAUGAGGUGACGACUGACCAGCAGCGGCUGGCGAAGAUGAGGCAGUAAACGAGCGGCGGCUGACAGUGGUGGAUCCUUAAAAUUUUGUUUGACGAUGAAUCCCCCCAUCCUUGCCCAGCGGAUAUACGAUUAGCCAAUUAUUUACCUGUAAUUGCCGAAUUGACCAAACCGAUUGGGUUCAUUGAGAAAUAGUAUCUAGUGAUGGGGCAUUAGCGAUAUUUAUAGAAAAUUGGAGGAGUGGUUUUGUCAAAUUCCACAAAAG
RNAcentral lists this long non-coding RNA (705 nucleotides) under Citrus sinensis (sweet orange). RNAcentral's name for it is "long non-coding RNA (CSIN_LNC002788)". The record is from RNAcentral. Lineage: Eukaryota; Viridiplantae; Streptophyta; Magnoliopsida; Sapindales; Rutaceae.